Molecule: long non-coding RNA, 2671 nt
Filed under: Solanum tuberosum (potato)
Lineage: Eukaryota; Viridiplantae; Streptophyta; Magnoliopsida; Solanales; Solanaceae
Description: long non-coding RNA (STUB_LNC006436)
Source: RNAcentral
AAGAUGGAGCUAGGGUUGAUGGUGGCUAUUGAUUUCUUCUUCAAUUUCAUUUGGUUCUUGAUGAUUAAGGUAUGGGGAUCCUUUAUCCUUGAUUUAUUCUUCCUUUUCAAGGAGCUCAAUUCAAAUGAUUCAAAGUUCUUCCAAAAAUAUAAAAAUCCUAAUUUCGAUUCUAAGCAUGGGUUCUUGCAUUAAAUGAUUUUUUUUUGAUGAUUUAUGUUAUUAAUGGUGUCUAUUGAUGGUUUUAAGAAAGAAGUUCCAUGAACCCAUGUCUUGGCAAGUUUCCUAAAGUUGGCUUAUGAAGUGGGUUUAUUAUUUAUGAUUGAAUGAUGAUGGAAGUAUGCUUGGAUUGAGUUGAAUAGUUGACUUCUAUAAGUAUCUAUGCUUAUCUAUUGUGAAUUGUUGGAGAGUUGAGGAAUGGUGAUUGUGGCUUGGGAAAAAGGGUAAGUGGACCUAACUUCAUUGUUAAGGUAGAAUUGAUAUAGAAUUGUGAUAGAUUGAUGUGUGAUCCACUUAUGGUGGAGGCGUUUACUUAUUAAAUGUAUUGUGUUUAUGGCCUUGGAGGCAUUAUAUGAGGAAUUGAAGUGUUGACAUGAUAUCAUAUAUGUGAAUGUGAUGUGAAGGACUUGAAUGAGAAUCAAAUGAAGUAAAGGCAAUCAUGUUGUGAAUAUAAAGGUGUUCAUGUGAUCUCAAGGUGAUCUUAUUUAAAGUGUUAUUGUAUUGUGAUUGAAAGUGUGUCCUCUAUUAUUGUUCAUAUGUGAUGAUGAUGGAAUGUGAAGGAUCUUUAUAAUGUGAUGUGUGUCUUGACUUGGUAGACUUAGGUGCCUCUUCUUGAUACAUUAGAAGCUUUGUUGAAUAUGAAUCGAUAGGAUAUGGCAUUCCUUUCGGAUGUAAGUGACGAAACCUGUUUUUGAGCUGGAUAGUGUUUGGUAUUUUAGGCCUAUCUCUAACAUAGUUUGCAGUGAAUAAAUAUUAUUUGGAAAGCUAACUCGUAUACCUACAACUUUUAUGUUUAUGUAAAACUCUAAUUUAACUGUUAUAGAUACGAAAUAUGGGACUCAACAUAGGGAAUGUUCUGCCCAGAUUCCGGGAAUUGAAAUCUUGCAUGACCAGUGGCUAGUGUCUUGACUAUGUCUUUUUGUACAAAAUAUACGGGGGGUAGUAGGCCCGUAUAACCAUAUCGAGGGGUUGGUACCUUGGUUGCCUAGUACGGGGGGUAGUAGGCCCGUAUAACCAUAUCGAGGGGUUGGUACCUUGGUUGCCUAGUACGGGGGGUAGUAGGCCCGUAUAACCAUAUCGAGGGGUUGGUACCUUGGUUGCCUAGUACGGGGGGUAGUAGGCCCGUAUAACCAUAUCGAGGGGUUGGUACCUUGGUUGCCUAGUACGGGGGGUAGUAGGCCCGUAUAACCAUAUCGAGGGGUUGGUACCUUGGUUGCCUAGUACGGGGGGUAGUAGGCCCGUAUAACCAUAUCGAGGGGUUGGUACCUUGGUUGCCUAGUACGGGGGGUAGUAGGCCCGUAUAACCAUAUCGAGGGGUUGGUACCUUGGUUGCCUAGUACGGGGGGUAGUAGGCCCGUAUAACCAUAUCGAGGGGUUGGUACCUUGGUUGCCUAGUACGGGGGGUAGUAGGCCCGUAUAACCAUAUCGAGGGGUUGGUACCUUGGUUGCCUAGUACGGGGGGUAGUAGGCCCGUAUAACCAUAUCGAGGGGUUGGUACCUUGGUUGCCUAGUACGGGGGGUAGUAGGCCCGUAUAACCAUAUCGAGGGGUUGGUACCUUGGUUGCCUAGUACGGGGGGUAGUAGGCCCGUAUAACCAUAUCGAGGGGUUGGUACCUUGGUUGCCUAGUACGGGGGGUAGUAGGCCCGUAUAACCAUAUCGAGGGGUUGGUACCUUGGUUGCCUAGUACGGGGGGUAGUAGGCCCAUAUAACCAUAUCGAGGGGUUGGUACCUUGGGAACUAGCUCGGGGGGUGGUAGGCCCGGGUAACCACAUUGAGGGGUUUGUACCUCUUUCGCCUCUCCAAGGGGGUGGUAGGCCUUGGAAAUACUAUAUUGAUGAUCACUCACUACACAUAUACUAUGCCCUACUAAAUAUGAUUUUUAUAUAAGCAUCAUUAGACAUAUCAUCUCAUUAAUAUGCUAUCUAUCGGGUACGAUUAUGCAUUUUGCCUAUGAUGUCCAUCCCUUGUUGCAUUGCAUUGCAUCCCAAAAAAAAGCUUACUUGUAUUUUUUUCAUGAUGUUUUACCAAAUGGCAUAAAAGCAUGUUUCUCCAAUAAACGUCCCUUUUAGCAUGUUUUUGCAUGGCUUCCAUACUUAGUACUUAAUUGUGCUAACCCCUUCCUUUCCCUUUUUGACUAAAGUGUAGGGAUUUGGAGAUGAUGACAUGUCAUGGCUUUGAUAGGUUUCUAAGUGUUGAAGAUGAAGACUUGGUGAGUCCUCAUAGAUUCGAGGACAAUACCCAAUAUGUUCUUUUAUGUCUUUUUAGUAUUGUUUAAGUUGUGUACGGGAUUAGUCCCGAAUUUUGUACUCUAAAGUAUUAGAUGGUUUGAGACAUCAUGUAUAAAGUCUAGAAAGUCUUCCGCUUGCUAUUUUUUAAUUAAAUGUUUUCUUGGUAAAGAAAGUUUUAAAUUCAUUAUGUUUUUAGUGUUAUGCGAUGAAUGAAUGCUAAGAGGCU